Molecule: long non-coding RNA, 862 nt
Filed under: Papio anubis (olive baboon)
Lineage: Eukaryota; Metazoa; Chordata; Mammalia; Primates; Cercopithecidae
Description: lncRNA (ENSPANG00000048836.1)
Source: RNAcentral
AGUUGUAUGAGUUAUUUAUACAGUCUAGAAUAAAUACUUUAUUAUAUAUGUGAUUUGCAAUUAUUGUCUUUUUGGGGGUUGUCUUUUCAUGUUCUUAGUGUUUUUAUGCAAAAAUUUUAGAUUUUGGUGAAGUCCGAUAAAACUAUUUUUUCCUUUGUUUUUCAUGCUUUUGGUGUCACAUCUAAGAAGCCGUUGUCAAAUUCUUUGUCAUGAAUAUUUAACCCUAAGGUUUUUUCUUUAAGUUAUAUAGUUUUAAAUAAUACUGUUUAGGUCUUUGAUUCAUUUUGAGUUAAUUUUUUAUAUGGAUAGAGCCCAACUUUAUAUUUGUGAAUACAGAUAUCCAGUUGUCCCAGCACUAUUUUUUGAAAAAUAACUGUGGUUUUUUUUGUUUUUUUUUUUGUUUUUUUUUUUUUCUGUUGGAUAGUCUUAGCAACGUUGUUGGAAAACAGUUGACCAUAGAUGUACGGGUUUAUUUCUGGACUCUCAGUUCUAUUCCACUGAUCUAUAUGUUCAUGCCAGUACUACAAUAUUUUCAUUACUCUGGCUCUGUGGGAAGAAAAUAAGAAGAAAAAAAAAUUCACUCUGCAAGAUUCUCUAACCCAGAAACCCAAGAAGGAAAGAAAGAGCUGCAUGGUGACCCUGACAAGUCCCUUUUUCUCAACCCUCAUCUGAAAUAGAUGCAUACUACAAGGUCAGAGACUCCAGUUCCAAUCACUGACUUUGCCAACCUGUAUUUCUAAAGUGCUUUCUCAGAAGCACUGCAAAUGGCUGGUUAAAAAAAAAAAAAAAAAAAUCCUUUCCGUGCAAUGGGACAAGAAAAACCUAAUAAUAGAGCCACAUGGCAUUCCAUUCCUUAUAUAAA